CGGAAACAGUCACAUAACUCUGGCAGGAGGGAAUGAGGUCAAUCCACAACCCUCCAACUUAACGCACAUCGUCUGUUGCAGAGGGGUUAGGAUUUCACUUUUUUAUUGUAUUUUGAAGGCCUAUCGGACGCUCUGUUGAGAUUUGAUUUUUGUGACCGAUACGUGAACAGUAUUGAUGUUUUGAGUGUUCCCAAAGAGAGAGACAUUACAUCACAACAAUUUGUCAGGUCAAUUCUUGCCACAUGUUUCUUUCCUGUAAAGGUCCACUUAGAUUACAGAUGGAAGCAAAGGUUGUUCAGUUUACAUUUUAAGGACAUUGCACGGUGAGGGAAGGAGCUUAACAACAACGUGGCAUCAGCGGCUAAGUUGACCUGAGGGGCCAGUCAAGUCCUCCCAUAAUGCAGAGCUCUGUGGCCUCUUGCCUUCUGUCACCCUAUCACCUCGGAACCUGGGAUUUUCUGGAAAAGUGGGGCUUCUGGACUGACUCAUCGGACAGCUGUACCUUAAAGGGCCUCACGGGGGCAUCGCCUCCAGGGUCACUACUCUGGGCUGUGAUUUGACGGCCAGGCACAAAUAAAACCCCCUGAAGCUUGACAACUUCCUCGCUGAGCCCACGUAACCCAAUUAGGGAACCGUCCCACAGUCGGAGAAAAUGAAAACAUUCCGGAGCCAUAUUCCCGGGACGGCCGUGGUCGUUUAUUUAAUCCAUUUCUUUUUUCGCCCUCUUCCAGAGAUUUUUCUUGGACUGAUUUCAAUGAUCCAUCAAGGAGUGACUCAACAACUCAAAUACCAGUGGGCUGCAAAUAUACUAAACUCCUGUCUGCGCUGAAUCCAGAGACAAGUACCUCACAUCGUUACGUUAACCCACGGCUAUCUUUUGAAAGGAUAUCCAGAUACUGAGGUUGCCUCAGCUGGGCGGGUGCUGAAAGCCUAUACGUUACCCAGAGUGCAGUGCAGGAUGCGGGGCGACUGCAGAUGCUGCCGGCUGAAGGCAAAGACAAAUGGACGAAUCAACGCUCCAGCAGAAGGUCCUAUUGAUUGAUAAAGCACCCUGUGGAUUGGGCUGUGAAUUGUUAGCCCCCCAUAGUGUGUUUUUUUUUUUUGUUUUUGUGUGGGAUACCAGACUGCUGCCCCGAAGGCCCUGAACAAUACAGACAAGCAGAGAAAGACAGCAGAAUCAAUGACUGUCUCACUCAGGGCUCUAGUAUGUUCUUACGAAUCAUCUAAAGUGGCUCCCUUGGCGCCUACCUCUGCCUACCUCCACUGAAUACCACAACAAGAUUUGUUAAAGACACCACCGUUCAAGGAGGAACGGCAAGCAUCUUCUGCAGGGAACCAAUCAAUGACUGAAGACAGAUGAAUUCCUCUAAAAAAUAAAGACAAUUUGGCUGUUAGAAAAGCAACUCGGACACAACGAAAGACCACAAAUUGCAUCCAGCGAAAGACGAGGACGAUGAGGAAUGCGUGUGAUGAAGGCUACAUUUGUCUAUUGAGACAAGGCCCAGGACCCAAGUGUCUUCUCUCUCCCUCGUGGGCGACUGACAGAGCCAGAUAGGCCUCUUCACUGCUGACAGCCAAUGUCCUCAUCCAUCCUCAUCCGAGAGACCAACCCCGCCUAGAUUUCCCCCGACGAAACCCCCAACGCAGAAAUCCCUCGCCCCAAGCUCAGCAAAGGGCCCGGAGCUGGGAGUGUCCCCGCGGCGCCUCUGUCAAUAUGUCAUCAUCGUCAUAGCUGCCAGUUGGCAGCAGAGUAACCCACCGCAGUUGUGUCAGCAAAACAGUCUCCAUUUUAUUAGUAUUUCUUUCCACUGAAUAUCCAUCGCGGGACACACACUUCUUCUCAGUAUUCGCAGACAGGGUCAUAACUCAAGCGGCCCGUGAUGUGCUUCCCACUCCUGUGACGGGGAGGUAUUUGUGAUGAUGAACGGACACAGGGGGGGAAGCGUUUGUUUUUUCGCAGGAGGCGGAGGGGGGUGGGGGGGGGUGGGGGGACUCGUCGUCGGGCGGAGCCGCACGCAGCAAGCAGACGUAAGCACUUGUGGUCCGAUGUGGCCGUGCUGACAACACAACUUUGGGCCUCGUUUGGAGAACAAACCGGCAUUUUAAUGGGAUGGUACACCUUGAGUACGAAUGAAGCAUGUGAAUUAUUUAGUUUCAUCUGUGUGUGUGGAGCUAAAUGUGAUGCUUUAGCGAUAGAAGACAAACUUUUAAAUAUUUUCUUUGUAAGAGAAAAGACCAUAAAUGUCCAUAAAAGAGCUGCAUGAGAAAAGCUUCUGCGGCUUCAAACCAGGAUAAACUUAUUUUUCAUGUCACCAUCCAUCCUCCACUGCAAGCUAAGUGUGAUGCGCAAUACUAGUCCACAGCAGCAUCCUCACACAAGAAAUUAACAGUACUUAUUCAUUUAGAGCAGAAAGUGCACUUUAAAUGUAAAGCACUUUGCUUAAAUCCAGGAAAUCAUCGCACUAUUAAAGCAAUUUGGAGAACAGCAUCAUACUUAGAGGAACAUUUCUGGGCUUCAUACAAAUAGGCUUGACAGUCAUUUUACUGCCUUUAGUGAGGGUCCCAGAGAAAGUGACAGGGGGAAAUUGGGGCAAAUAAAGUCAGAGGAAGAGGAAUUUCUCUUCAUGGUAAAAUUGGGAAUGAUGUCAUGAAUUAAUUCUGCGCGUCGAGGAGGAGAUCAUAACAAGUCUACAGAUGAUGCCUGGACAUUCACUAAACUGCAGCGUAAUGCACAGCUAAUAUGGGAUGAGAUUGCUCUGAGAUUUCAUUUUGGGGGCAGCAGCGGUAAUGGCAGAGAUGAUGAUCACGACUGCAUUACAGGCAAUUUGAUUUAAAACGUAUGAGACAUUUUGCGCAACGUCCCAUGAGAUGUAAACACAUAAAAUAUUUCCUCUGGCUUUGAGGCACACAGAUAUUUGCAUUAAAUAUGUUCUAACAUUGAUUUGUAUUGAGUUUAGACCAGCGCUCUGCAUUAUGGGUUGACCGAUUCAGGUUCGUCACGUGUGAGGGGAUGAGUACAUUAACGAUAUUUGUUUCUUUUUUUGUUACAUUGUUUUAAUGGAUAUUGAAGUCUGCAUUAACAAGGUCAGAUACAAAUAACAAACUCUGCUGGCAGUUAUUGGUUGAAAAGAUCCUCCUGCACCACCACCAGCCGUCUGCACUGGAUGAUCUGAAAAAAACAAACUUGCAUAAAUCAAAGCCUCUUUGUUGGAAAAAGAGAUGGACUGUUAUUUGCAUCCUUUUUUUCUUUCAAUUUGUCUGAUAUAAAGUCGAACGUCCUUCCCGCCUCCAUAAAUCCUGAGACACUAACAAAGUGAAGGAGCAUCCAAAUCAGCUCAUUGCAGCGGCAGUCGAUGGCCGCUCUCUCAAGGACGCUGAUUGACGUUUUAUACAGCUUCUGCAGGUUAGUGAUAUUGAUGGCAUUCAAUUGAACUGUAUAUUCUUUUAAUAAGGGAGCUGCCAGAUGCCUGUGGCUUUCAAAGUGCUCUUUAAGAGACAGGGAGUUGCGGAGAAAGGGAAGGAGACACAAAGAAGGUCAGGAUUAAGUGAUGUGCUUUCUCCAAAGCAAUUAUUUUAAGAUAGUAGCUUUUUUUUACUUGGCUUGGUUAAUGCUGUUGUCAGAUAGAGACACAUUUUAUCAUUUGGCUCCGAACAUGGCAUUAGAUUUGUAAUGAAACAAAGGCUUUUAGGUUGAAGUGCUUACUGUCGGCUUUAAUGUGACGGUGUUAUAUCAACAUCAGAAAGAAUUAAGAUAGUUGACUUUACUGGAAGAGAAUGUAAUUAUGUUCUUUGCAAUUAAUAAUGUCCUGUAAACAUACGGUAUCUUCCAUGCCGGGUCAAAUCUCUACUUGUUGCUUGUUCAGGGACAUUUUGCCUUCAGUUUGCUCAUCAGCAAACUGUCAUUUCAUUAUGUGAACCUUGCUGGCAAUAACUGUUAGAUACUUGAAGACUUUGAAUGAUGAUCAUUGCAGUGUAUCCAGAGCCACAAAAGAUUCAACGUGUUGAAAGGCAUCUUUAUCCUCGGCUGACUCUCCAAUAGGUUCUGGGCCACAACAUCUAUUCCCAGCCAUGUUUUAUUAAUCCAUCUGCAUCCUGAAAACUAGGCCAGUCACCCAGAGGCCGGACUAUCCACUUGUCCUCUGUACAGAGGCUGUUGUAUUUUUAUUUUUCAUACUCAGGUCAAAUGCACAAUCGUUUUUGUAAUAAGAGCUGCCCAUCAGGGGGCAAUCUGCCAAAAGGACUGUGCACUUUUUAUUUUGCUAACAGUAGUUAGUAAAAUAGUUUGCCAUCAGUUUCUAAGUCUCUUGCCUCCAAACAAUAGCAAAAGGCCGCUUUAGUUAAUAGGACUCUCCAAUGUCCUCUCCCUCUCCCAUCCCCUUUAUGAAUGCCAACGGGGCAUCGACUUAGUCUAGACGUUGGACCACACAGGGCGCCGCGGGUCACCCACAGUCUGAGACACUGCCGUGUGCGUGCUGCUCAGCCUGUGUGCACCAAGCCACUUACACGACAGGCAAAGGGGAUCCAUGUGGCACACAUGUGCUCCACGUGGCUCUCACAGAACGAGAAUGUGUGUGAGAUGCCCCCCCCUGCACCGCCCCAUGGGUACACAGAAUCUGUGGCAGUAUCACCGGCGAUGGCUACUGCUUUAAUUAAAGCCCUAAUGAUAGGCUUUCAACUGGGAAGCUUACUUAUCAUCACACAUAAUCGCUCGGUGCUAGUUAGCGCUGGCAGAAUAGCAACCAUCUGCUCUGCUGAGCACACAUUCUGAUCAUUCUUUAUAUAGCUGUGGUAGGUCACUUACAGUAUUUAUAAUAGGAGGCCCCCAUUAUGUAAAAGUCUGUUUAAACGUUGUACAUUAAUGGGGCACAUCUGUGGUAGUGGCGCUUGGAUCAGCAACACAAAUGAGUAGCCAAAUAUCCUCAUUUUAGUAAUAUAUAGUAAUAUGAAGACAGCAUGCUGUCGGUGAUUCAGGGAUGGAUAGAAUAUAAUGGCUAGAAUAUUUAUCUUUUUUGUCUUGUCAUUUGCUUGUUUUCUUCUUCUCUCCUGCCUUUAAACGGUUUUUGCAAUGAGGAUUUAAAAUGUCUUGUGUGUCCUUCCAAACUUUUUUUGGACUAAAAAUCCCCCAUUUAAUAAAACAAGUUAUAUUUGAUACGUUUUUGCAAAUUCCUGUAGCAUUAGUUACCUUUGGAAGGAGCCAAAAGCUUAAACAAUGACAAUUUUCCAAAGAAGAUAAACAAGCAUGGCGUGUUGGUUAAGAACUAGAUAUUUGAUGAGUUGUCAAAGUGAAUAACAUCCUAUUUGGUAAAGAAAUAAUUUGGCUUUAAAUUACAGCACAUUACCUGCUGUAAAAACAGCAUUAGAAAAAGUCAUUUGCAAAGCUCCACAUCACAUUUAUUUCUAUGAAUUCAAAAAGCACGUUUUAGUGAUUUAUCGUUUUUCUUAAUGCGUGAUUGAUUGACUCAAACUAAAUUACUAAGCUACAACAGACUGUUUUCACACUUUCAUUAGAGCGCGAUCCUUUUCGUGCGCUCAGCUACGAGAUUUACUUCACCAACAAAUCAAUCCGAGGUCAAAUAAGGAGCACUUAGGGAUUAUUUUCUAGCUCUGAGAUACAGUCAGUCUUGCUGACAGAAAAGCUGCACUCUAAGAGCUGAUGUAAUUCCCCCUCCGUGUUGGUUGCCUGAAAUGCUUUGUUGAAGAAAAAAAAAAAAAAGCUCUGCUUUUGGCGCAGCAAAGUGAUGAGAGCAGCUCGCCUCCACUGAUGUAAAUCCUGCCUCUGUUUACCGAGGGUUCCUGAUCAAAGGAAGGAAGGAAAGGAGAGAUUUAAGGACAUGAAAAAAAAUGGAAGUUGCAGACUUGCAAAGCCGAGUCUCUUUAGUUGUGUGUCUGAGGGGUGCAGCGGGGUUAGGUUGGUGUGUGGCAGGUCAAUGCAGCGGUCUAAUGGCCUGCAUUAAACUGAGAAGAUAAUAACGUUUUGGUUUUUAUUCUAUGUCUCGAUAAUUUGUCUGGUCCGCGUCAGGUUUGCCCUGUGGGGCGACAUCUCCCUCCCUUUUGCUCCUCCUCUUGGUGCUUCUCUUGCUCCCAGCUGAAAGUGAACAGAGGAUGACGCAAAUAAAAAAGGUUUACUGUCCGCGGUGUUCGACAACCCUGCGGGGCUCUUUUAAUCAUUCCUGCUUCAUUGACUGGAUAUCUGUUAUCAUUUUGUGUCUCUCUUUUGCAGAGGAUGAGCCAGGUGGAGGUUUACGUGGUAGGAAUCAAUUUACCUGAAACAAAAAACGUUUUUCUUCUCGAGCCCAGCAGAAUAACAUUGAACAAAUCAAACUUUUGGACCUUAAAGCAGUUUCACCGAGCCUCAGCAGUUGGAAAACUGCCUGUCAGGCACAGAUGUGCACUCAUCACAGCAUCAUGACAGAAAACUGUAAAGAACAGCUUUAGAGAUUUGCUGUGGUUCCAUUAAUCUACAGAAUUUUUUGCGGUGCCGGAAGGAAAGAAAGUGCUGACCGCGGCCAGGCUGUAUUUUAUUAAAAAGUAGCUCCAAGCGUUCAAACAACACAGUUGUGUAAUAGUUGGGAUUAUUCUGAAUAUUGGAAAAAAAUGUAACUUUUUCUUAUUGUCAAAUAUUUUCCAUGUGCACCACUUAUGAUGCCAAAACUGCGCUCUUUGGUUCCACUGUAAGGAAUAAAGUUGUGGCAGCGGUUUAAUAUUCUAAAAUCAGGAGUCAAACCUGAAACCUCUGAUCUCCAAUCAUUGAUCCAUGAUGCCGACUGACUGAUUUCACCCACUUACUAUGGGGGUGCGCUAUACAAAUAAAAUUGCCUUGCCUUACUAUGUUUUAUUUUUCCCUUUUUUUUGAAGACUUUACUUGGAAUCUCAGAUUUCUUUUCCAGUUUGCCGUACUGAAUCUGAUGUAAUAUUUACAAACGUUUAUUAGGAAAAAAACUGGGGAGUAAAUCCAUUGUGUUUUUACAGAUCAUCUGUGGUUACUUUCAUCCAGUCGAGCGCUAAUCUCACGUGGAUGAUUCGCUUAGAUCUCCUCCGGCCAUCCGGCCACGUGAUGCUCUGAUUCAUACGUGUGCUUCCUCAUGAGCCGUGACAUGGACCACAACCAUCGGCCUUCAAGGCCGCCUCUUGUGUCAUGACAGGCAAUUGACUGUGUGUGAUCUCCCUGUUCCCUCCUGCAGAACUGCCGAUACGAUCAGAGCUGGGGAGCAGAUGCGAGGCUGGGAAACGGUGGCAGUUCACUGGAGUUGAAUUGUACCCCGGAGAGGAGGAAGUGAAGUUUUUCUAUCAGAUGGAAAGAUCAGAGGAGACGGAUAAUUCAGUAAUCACAUCUCCAGCGAUUAGGGGGGACAGGAGGCGGGUUGCCGAUAAGGAACUGUGGGCUUCACGGACGUUCUGUUCGGUUAAUAGGAAACCGAAAAAGACUCAACGCCUUAUUUUCCCAGUGGUAUCUGCUUCUUUUAUCACACCACUUUAUGAUUUCUCACCUUGUCUCAUUGGGUCGUCUGAUCUCAUCUCAUUUACUAAAGGGUCGGUGAACCUGUCAGCGAAUCAAAACCAACUUCUGUGUGUGCUUCAUCUGGGUACGGUUGUAUCUUCUCAUCUCGUCUCAUUCCUGAUGACUUACAUUAGUUUUUUGACCCAUCUCGUCCUCAUAAUCCUGUUUCAUUCAUGCGGUAACAGAUGAAAACAACGCCCAGGCCUAUAAAAAAUGAUCUUUUUGGUCAUGUUUUAUUCUCCAAAGAAAUGUCAACAUCCUGAGUAAGACAGCCUAACCCAAGGGACAAUAGUAGAAAUUGUUUAAAUAUAAAUCCUGGUGCUCCUUCUGUCACGGUUUGGGUUUGUUUCCUUUCUUAUUUUGUAGUUUUCUGCCUCUUGUGUCCCUGGGUAACUUCACUUCCUGCCUUGUCCUGUCAUCCCCUGUGAUUGUCUGAUUGUUUCCACCUGUGUCCAAUCACCUGCACCUGCACCAUGUGUAUUUAAGUCAUGUGUGUCGCUUGUCCCUUGUCGCUCAUUGUUGACUGUUUUGGAUGUUCCUGUCUGCAUUUUUUGCCCCUGGCCCUUUUGGAUUUUGACUAUUAAAGUCUUUUUGUUUUUGAAAGUCUGCGUUUGAGUCCUGCCUUCUCUGUCUGAACAAGACUUUUCAAGGAUUACUCAUAUUUUUCCACCUGAUGAACACUCCAUAUCCUGACAUCAUAUCUGUAAGUCACAAACCGUUGUCAAUGCCACCUGACGAGCAUGACGAGUCCUCUGACUCUCUCUAUCCAAGUGGGUAAAAGCCUGACGUGUAUAUGUGCACACGGACACACAAGCGCACCAUGUCUUGUUGGCCUGUGAGAUCUUAUCACGGACAUUGAAAUGAGAUGAGACAAUGUGAGUAUCUGCUUCCUGUGUUUGUGUGUGGUUGGGAUGCAUGGGUCUCAUGCAGUAUCAUGUUAAAGUUGAGCGUCUGCUGUCUGCAGAGUCGCCGUAGUUUUAAUUUGAUGCUUUUAUUUUGAAGGCUUGUAAAGUAUGUAAAAUCUUGAUAGAUUAAAUUAAGAAGACAUAAUAUUGCAAAUAAUGCAAAUCUUUUAAGAGAAAUUUAAUUUGCAUUAUUUGCAAUAUUAUGUCUUAAUUUAAUUUAAAAUCAAGCAUAACAUGAUAAAACAAAUCUGAUCUCACGUGUUUCAACAGUGUUUACCCGUUACGACAGCAGGGGCUGUAGGGCGGCGAUCUGGGCUGUAACGUCCACCAUGUGUGGUCACACCCACGUGCACUGACUUAUUCUGAAGGGAUACGCGGCUGGCUCUGCUCCAGGUGACAACACAGAGGACGAGGGACUGUAGGUGCGUUUUAUAUUCAAUCAUCGUUUUUCUGCUACAUCAAUGCUCUGAAUUGCGCAGUUUCCAUAUUUAGAGGUGAUUUAUAAAUUUAAUCUACACCAAUUGCUGGGGUACUUGUUGCGCAGCGGAACUUGACCUUUGCAGGGAACCGAUGAGGGAGGUUUCCCCAAAGGGAUGAGUGAAUUCUAAUUUCAUUAGCAUCCCAAACCUCACGGAGUGAAUGAUGCAGUUAGUCAUUGCUCUUCUUUUCCACUGAUGAUGACGUUUUCAAAACAGACCACAGCUGUGUGGAUCUCCCAAGUGAAUCCUACACAACUCUGGGCUUGGACAAGGGCCGAUGAUGAUAACUGGCUUGCAUUAUGUCCUUUACAGUAUUGUCACCAUGGAUACAAGACUUGGGAGUCAAACACAGAAGAGUGGUGGUCACUAAUACUUUUUAAUCAAGUCUCCCUGAAAGCUCAUAUUUAUGAUUACAUCCAUCCAGAAAAAAUAUCACCUCGCCUGUUUUUGGUAAAAUGAUCGGGGGAAACCAUUUAACAAUGUUCCUAGUUCCUAAACAGUGCUCCUAAUUGUACAUCGGCUCGAUGACUUGAAAUCUAGAAGUGUGUCGACACAUAGCGCAAACUCCUUUUUCACUUUGCUUUACCUGCAAGUUGUGCUGCCAUGCAAAUGCCCCUAACAAAUCUGUCCCAUAGGAACUUCCUUUCUGCUUACUACUUUCCUUCAAAGUUGCAAAAACAAAAUAUUACUGAAAGGAAAACCAUUUGGGGAGCUUUUUUCAGCAAAUCAAGUAGCGACUAUUUCAAUGUAUCCUCCAACAGUUUCAAAUGACAUCCUGUAAGAAGCCCGGUAACACUCGUAACUUGCGCGCUUACUUGAAAAAAUUUGUAAAGAUGAAAUGAGUUUUAAAUAUUAUUUAACUCCUCGACAUCUCCUUCGUUUCUCACUUACUGACCAUUUAAAUCGUAUUUUGACAGCAAGUUGUUUGUGUUCAAUAAUAAUGACCUUGAUAAUCUACCAAUCCAUUUGGCAAGAAUAAGCAAAUACAUGUUGGAUUAAUAAACUAUCACCAGUGAACACUGGCCGCCAAAGAUCAAGAGUCACAAACCUUAUUGAACCAACUUUAACUUCACUUUAAAACAUCUUAACCUACUUAAGAUGUUUGCCAGAUAUAUUCCGUAUUAACAUGUAGGCUAUGAAGAAGAAAAACUUAAUCCAGGGCCUCUCCUUGGAUGUCCUCGUCCCUCAUCUCUCUCUCGCGUAUCUUUGGGUGUUUUAAUGUUUCCCUGACUGCUGCUAUAACAUGAAUUUGUCAUUGCGUUCACCGCACCCAUGAAACAACUAAUAGAAAGAAAUGAACUGUGCAAACUCAAGGGGGGGAUUGUGACAGUUGGAGGGGAG
Long non-coding RNA from Gasterosteus aculeatus aculeatus (three-spined stickleback), 10223 nucleotides. Lineage: Eukaryota; Metazoa; Chordata; Actinopteri; Perciformes; Gasterosteidae. The record is from Ensembl.